Bubalus bubalis (water buffalo) is the source of this 1305-nucleotide long non-coding RNA. RefSeq lists it as uncharacterized. The record is from RefSeq and is a predicted model, not a curated record. The transcript is spliced from 6 exons. NCBI's taxonomy places the organism in Eukaryota, Metazoa, Chordata, Mammalia, Artiodactyla, Bovidae.
GCGAGAGGACGCUCCCACCUGCUGGCGCGCCGCGCUCGCCUCUGUCUCUUCCCCGCCCCCACCCCACGCCCGGUCAUCCCGCGCGCACGCGCCCCCGGCUGCCCUCGCGUCUUGGCGCCCGCAACCCCGCGCGUGAGUCUUCGGUCGGUGGAGCGCACGGGAACAGCAGGCGUCAAGGGGGGUCGGGGAGGCGCUCGCUUUCUCCCUUCUCUCCUAGUGAGGGCGGUUCGGCGUUCUUUUCCCUCCUCACAGUGUCAGUCGGAACCAGAAGGAAAGCAUAACAGCUUCAGAAAUAUCGCUGUCUUUGAGGAGAGCCGAGAAUGAGAUGGGAAAAGUCUUCAACUAGCUGCCUAAAGUUUAUCUCAUGAGGAAUCCACUGAAGGACUUCUUGGGGAAGAGAGUGAGAGUCAAGAUGUCCAGAAACCAGGAAAUGGGCUUCCCCUCCUGAUGCAGAAGGCAGAUGAACACAGUGAAGAUGCCUGAUGGGCAAAGAAGUCACCCAUGCAAUGAAAGGAACACCCAGCUUGUAGUAAUGAGCUGCUGCUGCUUCACUGCUCACUGCGUGUCACAUGUUAUCUGCGAUGCUUUACACAGGGCCCCUCCUUACCUUUUCAACCAUUCUAGAAGGUAAGAAAGUUGUGUUUUACAAAGUAACUUGCCAACGUGGCUGUUGGUGACAGAGCUGAAAGCCUGCCUGCCUGAUGCAAAGGACUAUGCCGCCAGCUGCUGUGACCCAUGCACGGGGAGACCACCUGAGGUACCAAGUACAAGGUUGAGAAACUGGUAGUUCCAGGUUAUCUUCACUGUGUCUGAUGAUAUACCAUACGGAAGGACAGAUCUUAGAACUGGAAGGUGACCUGACAUGAUCAUAUACUCCAGUCUAUCUUCAUGAUUAAGAAACCAAAAUCAAAAGAGAUCUGGAAACUCACCCAAGGGUGUAUGACUUGGAAAGGCAAAUCUCGGCUCUCCUUAUGUGAACAGUGUUCCUUCCACUAUAACCAAGCUAAUUUCACAAGUGAACAAGAAAAACAGUGGCCGCCCUAAGGAGCUCCAUCAGAGCAGCUGCUUCGGUACAGAGCGGGCAACAAGACUUCUCAAACUGUUAUGUACAGAGCUCUAUCCAUGGAGAGGCCUGCCAGGCUGCUCAGUAGCUCAGUUUCUACCCCAUCUCAAGACUACUCUGCUUGUAUCUGCUUCGGAUAUUAGGUCCGUAUAUAAGAUUUCCUGUGGGGAGGUCGGUGGGGUUGAUCUGCUUCUAUAAUCCAAUGGAAAAGCAAUCUGCUGCUAAAAUAAAAUGGAAAAGCA